This 253-nucleotide ribosomal RNA is filed under the name uncultured bacterium. Its description in RNAcentral is "partial 16S ribosomal RNA". It matches the Rfam family "Bacterial small subunit ribosomal RNA", at positions 524 to 776 of the family's 1533-position model. The record is from RNAcentral.
UACGGAGGGUGCAAGCGUUAAUCGGAAUUACUGGGCGUAAAGCGCGCGUAGGUGGUUUGUUAAGCGAGAUGUGAAAGCCCCGGGCUCAACCUGGGAACUGCAUUUCGAACUGGCAGGCUAGAGUACAAUAGAGGAGUGUGGAAUUUCCGGUGUAGCGGUGAAAUGCGUAGAGAUCGGAAGGAACAUCAGUGGCGAAGGCGGCACUCUGGAUUGAUACUGACGCUGAGGUGCGAAAGCGUGGGGAGCAAACAGG